Molecule: ribosomal RNA, 308 nt
Filed under: uncultured bacterium
Lineage: Bacteria
Description: bacterial SSU rRNA
Rfam family: Bacterial small subunit ribosomal RNA
Source: RNAcentral
AGUGAACGCUGGCGGCAGGCCUAACACAUGCAAGUCGAGCGGCAGCGCGUCCGACCACCCUCGGGUGGUCGGAUGGCGGCGAGCGGCGGACGGGUGAGGAAUGCAUCGGAAUCUGCCUCGUUGUGGGGGAUAACGUAGGGAAACUUACGCUAAUACCGCAUACGACCCUACGGGUGAAAGUGGGGGACCUUCGGGCCUCACGCGAUGAGAUGAGCCGAUGCCGGAUUAGCUAGUUGGCGGGGUAAAGGCCCACCAAGGCGACCGAUCCGUAGCUGGUCUGAGAGGAUGAUCAGCCACACUGGGACUGA